UGGCUCAGAAGCUCCCCGACUGAGCACCUUGUGACCCCCGCCCCUGCCCACCAGAGAACAACCCCCUUUGACUGUAAUUUUCCAUUACCUUCCCAAAUCCUAUAAAACGGCCCCACCCCUAUCUCCCUUCGCUGACUCUCUUUUCGGACUCAGCCCGCCUGCACCCAGGUGAAAUAGACAGCCAUGUUGCUCACACAAAGCCUGUUUGCUGGUCUCUUCACACUGACUCGAGUGAAAUUUGGUGCCGUGACUAGGAUCGGGGGACCUCCCUUGGGAGAUCAAUCCCCCGUCCUCCUACACUUUGCUCUGUGAGAAAGAUCCACCUACAACCUCAGGUCCUCAGACCAACCAGCCCAAGAAACAUCUCACCAAUUUCAAAUCCGGAGCUUGCUACAAGUGCCAGAAAUCUGACCACCAGGCCAAGGACUGCCGGCAGCCCAGGAUUCCUCCUAAGCCACGUCCCAUCUGUGUGGGACCCCACUGCAAAUCGGACUGUUCAACUCACCUGGCAGCCACUCCCAGAGCCCCUGGAACUCUGGCCCAAGGCUCUCUGACUGACUCCUUCCCAGAUCUUCUCGGCUUAGCGGCUGAAGACUGACACUGCCCGAUUGCCUCGGAAGCCCCCUAGACCAUCAUGGACGCCGAGCUUCAGUGAUAGAUCACAACAAGAGAUCAUGAAGAGGGCAUGGCCGCCAUGUCAUUCUGGAGAGAGACAGAGUAAAACAAAGAAGGCAAUAACCAGACACGGGACUGAGGCCAUCCAUGACCAGCCAGCCCUAGCCAACACACAACACACAAGCUGAUCACAGAUGCAUGAGUAAGCCUGAGACCAGCCAAGACCAGCCUAGAAUAGAACUGCUCAGCAGCAAUAAAAACUAAAUAAAUUGUUACCUUAAGCUACUUUUAGAGCUAUUUGGAAGUGUAUUUUUGUGCAGCUAACAUUUACUAGCAGAUAAAAUGGUGAUUGUUUAUCUCUGUUUUAUUGAUGUUUUAAGGAAAUUGUUUCUAUUAAAAGGAAAUAUCUGGUCUUUGUCACGUUAAA
Molecule: long non-coding RNA, 1042 nt
Filed under: Homo sapiens (human)
Lineage: Eukaryota; Metazoa; Chordata; Mammalia; Primates; Hominidae
Description: novel transcript
Source: RNAcentral